RNAcentral lists this long non-coding RNA (1540 nucleotides) under Papio anubis (olive baboon). Its description in RNAcentral is "lncRNA (ENSPANG00000051393.1)". Lineage: Eukaryota; Metazoa; Chordata; Mammalia; Primates; Cercopithecidae. The record is from RNAcentral.
AUGAUUGUUACUGCAAGGAUUGAAGGCAAAGGACUGGAAACACGCACUCAGCUCAGACCCUGCCUUCAGCCGGCGCCAGAAUCCUUCCUUGACCCCAGCCUCACCGUGAGACACCUGGCCCUUCACUUAGAAAGAGCUCCAUCAAUCAGCACCUUGGCGGCCCACUACCCACCGUCCACCUGUAAACUGUUCCUUUAAAACUGGAAUUCAAAGUAAAUGCAAAGCGGAAAGAAGCUCCACAGUGCGCCCUUCGGGUGAACCGGUCCUCCUGCUGCCUUUAGACCAGCGCCUCUGGCUAUUUUUCAGCCUGACUUACGCACAAAGAAGAAAGCCGUAUGCAUUGGAAUAGAGUCUCUCUCUCACGAUUGUUCUGGUAGAUUUCAGAAACCCUACAAGAGUAAUACGGGGAGCCAUGGCUCUUCUUGUGAUUGCUGUCACAGUUUUAUGAAAGACAUUUUCAAAAGUUAGCCUCAAGGAGAUUCUGGAGAUUUCUGUGCUCUCAGGAAACCCUCCCUUGCCACGGCUCAGAAGCAGAAGUGAGCGGCCAGCCUUGUCCACUUAUGGAGAGGAAUUUUCUGCACCUUCACAAGAGCUCAAAAUGAACCCAGACAGAGUCUUUGAAAGGACAAGGGCAGGGCCCAGGAACCGGGCUGUGACUCUGCCCUGCCUCUCUGCUUUCGGAUCCUGUGUCCUCAGAACCCACCAAAGUCACGUCGGUCUUGUCGCCACAGGUUCUCCUGGCCCUGGGUGAGCCACGCUGGUAGAGUUAGCACCAGCGGGGAAAUGCAGGCCGGCGGCCGGGAGGCUGACCCUCUGCAGCUGGCGCUACGUCCACUAGCGCGUCUUCACCCAUGAGGUACUUCCUCAUUCUCGACUUUACCCCCAGCUCCAGACUCAGAGUAUGAAGAACUCGAGUGGUUGCCUGACAUGGUUUGGCUGUGUCCCCACCCAAAUCUCAUCUUGAAUUGGAGCUCCCAUAAUUCCCAUGAGUGGCGGGAGGGACCUGGUGGGAGAUAAUUGAGUCGUAGGGCAGUUUCCCAUGUACUGUUCUCAUAGCAGUGAAUAAGCCUCACAAGAUCUGGUGCUUUUAUCGGGGAAGCCCCUUUUGCUUAGUUCUCGUUCUCCCUUGUCUGUAGCCAUGUGAGGCAUGCCUUUCACCUUCCACAAUGAUUGUGAGGUCUCCCCUGCCAUGUGGAACUGUGAGUUCAUUAAACCUCUUUCUUUUUAAAUUACCCAGUCUGGGGUAUGUCUUUAUCAGCAUGAAAAUGGACUAAUACAUUGCCUGUUUAUAUUUUUAAUUGGCAAGUGCCCUUAAGUUGCUGGAGAGUGGGGCCAGCUAACUACAGCCCAUGGGCCAACGCUGGGCCCCUCUCCGGUUUCUGCAAACCCAGCCUCACAGGAGUGCAGGGCCUUCGCUGGCCGUGGUCAGAAGCUGCUUUUUCCCAGAGGUGUGGUGCUGAGCAGAGGUGAUGGAGCCCCCAUGGCCUGAAACAUUCAUUGCCCCUUCAAAUGUGCCUGUUAUUGAUGGCUCAGAGCACAC